RNAcentral lists this long non-coding RNA (491 nucleotides) under Brassica napus (rape). Its description in RNAcentral is "long non-coding RNA (BNAP_LNC023817)". The record is from RNAcentral. Lineage: Eukaryota; Viridiplantae; Streptophyta; Magnoliopsida; Brassicales; Brassicaceae.
AGAACCCUUCCGGAAAGGUCCCUAACCAGCUCUAUUUAACUAUGGACGACUUAGCAGAUGAGUUCGGCAUCGGUACGCUUCGUUUGACCACUAGGCAGACGUUUCAGCUCCACGGUGUUCUCAAGCAGAAUCUCAAGACCGUGAUGAGCUCGAUUAUUAGAAACAUGGGAAGCACUUUGGGGGCUUGUGGUGAUUUGAAUAGAAACGUUCUUGCUCCGGCGGCGCCUUAUGUGAAGAAAGAUUAUCUCUUUGCGCAAGAGACGGCGGCAGAAUCUCAAGACCGUGAUGAGCUCGAUUAUUAGAAACAUGGGUAGCACUCUUGGUGCUUGUGGUGAUUUGAAUAGAAACGUUCUUGCUCCUGCUGCGCCUUAUGUGAAGAAAGACUAUCUCUUUGCUCAGGAGACGGCAGAUAAUAUUGCGGCUCUGCUUUCUCCUCAGUCGGGGUUUUAUUACGAUAUGUGGGUUGAUGGGGAGCAGUUUAUGACUGCUGA